GACGAACGCUGGCGGCGUGCUUAACACAUGCAAGUCGAACGGAAAGGCCCUGCUUUUGUGGGGUGCUCGAGUGGCGAACGGGGGAGUAACACGUGUGUAACCUGCCCUUGACUGUGGGAUAACUUCAGGAAACUGGGGCGAAUACCGGAUAGGAGCUCCUGCUGCGUGGGGGGGGUUGGAAAGUUUCGGCGGAUGGGGAUGGACUCGGGGGUUAUCAGCUUGUUGGUGGGGUAGUGGCUGACCAAGGCUUUGACGGGUAGCCGGCCUGAGAGGGUGACCGGCCCCCUUGGGCCUGAGAUACGGCCCAGACUCCUACGGGCGGCAACAGUGGGGAGUCUUGCACAGUGGGCGGAAGCCUGUUGCAGCAACGCCGCGUGCGUGAUGCCGGGCUGCGGGUUGUAAACCGCUUUCGCCGGUGACGAAGCGUGAGUGACGGUAAUGGGUAAAGAAGCACCGGCUAACUACGUG
RNAcentral lists this ribosomal RNA (468 nucleotides) under uncultured bacterium. RNAcentral describes it as "partial 16S ribosomal RNA". It matches the Rfam family "Bacterial small subunit ribosomal RNA", at positions 28 to 507 of the family's 1533-position model. The record is from RNAcentral.